This 461-nucleotide ribosomal RNA is filed under the name uncultured bacterium. RNAcentral's name for it is "partial 16S ribosomal RNA". It matches the Rfam family "Bacterial small subunit ribosomal RNA", at positions 338 to 795 of the family's 1533-position model. The record is from RNAcentral.
GCUACGGGGGGCUGCAGUGAGGAAUAUUGGUCAAUGGGCGAGAGCCUGAACCAGCCAAGUCGCGUGAAGGAUGACGGCCCUACGGGUUGUAAACUUCUUUUGUCAGGGAGCAAUUGAGUCCACGUGUGGGCUUAGCGAGAGUACCUGAAGAAAAAGCAUCGGCUAACUCCGUGCCAGCAGCCGCGGUAAUACGGAGGAUGCGAGCGUUAUCCGGAUUUACUUGGGGGAAAGGGAGCGUAGACGGCGGCGCAAGUCUGAAGUGCAAGCCCGUGGCUCAACCGCGGAACCGCUUUGGAAACUGCGAGGCUGGAGUGCUGGAGAGGUAAGCGGAAUUCCUGGUGUAGCGGUGAAAUGCGUAGAUAUCAGGAGGAACACCGGUGGCGAAGGCGGCUUACUGGACAGUGACUGACGUUGAGGCUCGAAAGCGUGGGGAGCGAACAGGAUUAGAUACCCCAGUAGUC